CAUUUUUUGAGAUCCCUUUAGUCAUCAAUCUCUAGGUGUAAAUAGUGUAUAAUAACACCUUUUGGCAGAUUAUUCAUGUCUGUGACAAUUAUUUCCAAACUCAUUGGUUUUUACGCUCUAUAGCAGAGCUUUUGAUAUGAAAGUUUGGUAGUUUAUACAAGGUGCGGAGACAACAGUAUUAACAGACACAAUCUCAAAGCAAGAAGAAAAGAAGUGCAGAAAUUGAUACUUUAAGGAAAUACGAUUUCAGCAGAAGUUGUUCUCCAUGAAUUUCACAAAUCCAUAGAAAUCGAUUCUUCCGUCUUUACUUCCACAUCUUCUCUGCAAAGACCAUCAUCAUCAUCAUCACGAUAUUCUUCGUGUUUGAUCGAAGUUUGGAACUCAAGAUCUUUGCUCUUCUUCUCGGAAACACAUUGCUGGUGUUGAACAAGAGGCCAGAACCUAGAGAAAAAUAACUGAGCAAAAGAAACCCAUCUGAAAAAACCGAUGAGGAAGAAGUUGAUCAGACCAAACAAAGGGAAAGACAAAGAAGAAGACUGUUUGCAUUUAGACAAUGAACUCUUCAUGGUUAUAAAGCUAUAUAAUUGGUUUUCAGUCAUAACUUUUGUUAGAAGUCUAUUUGAAAAGUAAAACUAGGCAAAAUAAUGAAUCACAAGGAAAAGAAUGUUUUGGAG
This is a long non-coding RNA of Arabidopsis thaliana (thale cress), 674 nucleotides long. RefSeq annotates it as other RNA. Lineage: Eukaryota; Viridiplantae; Streptophyta; Magnoliopsida; Brassicales; Brassicaceae. The transcript has 2 exons. The record is from RefSeq.